RNAcentral lists this ribosomal RNA (253 nucleotides) under uncultured bacterium. Its description in RNAcentral is "partial 16S ribosomal RNA". It matches the Rfam family "Bacterial small subunit ribosomal RNA", at positions 524 to 776 of the family's 1533-position model. The record is from RNAcentral.
UACGUAGGGUGCGAGCGUUGUCCGGAAUUAUUGGGCGUAAAGGGCUCGUAGGCGGUUUGUCGCGUCGGGAGUGAAAACCUCGGGCUUAACUCGGGGCUUGCUUUCGAUACGGGCAGACUGGAGGUAUGCAGGGGAGAACGGAAUUCCUGGUGUAGCGGUGAAAUGCGCAGAUAUCAGGAGGAACACCGGUGGCGAAGGCGGUUCUCUGGGCAUGACCUGACGCUGAGGAGCGAAAGCGUGGGGAGCAAACAGG